GAUGAAGAACGCAGUGAAAUGCGAUAAGUAAUGUGAAUUGCAGAAUUCAGUGAAUCAUCGAAUCUUUGAACGCACCUUGCACCCUUUGGCAUUCCGAAGGGUAUGCUCGUUUGAGUGUCAUUGUACUCUCACACUCUCCGAUCCUAUGGAUUCGGGGAGCGGUGGACUUGGGUGUUGCUGCCUUUCCCUGUGGCUCACCUCAAAUGCGUCAGUGCACCUCUUGGUUGGACAUAGUACGGCGUGAUAAGUGUCUUCGCCGGCACCUCGCAAGAGGGUGGCCGAUCGGAAGCUCUGCGCUUUCAAACCGUCUUCGGACAAUUUCUGACAUCUUGACCUCAAAUCGAGUAGGACUACCCGCUGAACUUAAGCAUAUCAAUAAGCGGAGGA
Molecule: unclassified non-coding RNA, 387 nt
Filed under: soil metagenome
Description: partial contains 5.8S ribosomal RNA, internal transcribed spacer 2, and large subunit ribosomal RNA
Rfam family: 5.8S ribosomal RNA (bases 1-120)
Source: RNAcentral